This 7636-nucleotide long non-coding RNA is filed under the name Musa acuminata (dwarf banana). Its description in RNAcentral is "long non-coding RNA (MACU_LNC009722)". The stretch from base 5609 to 5680 matches the Rfam family "tRNA". The record is from RNAcentral. Lineage: Eukaryota; Viridiplantae; Streptophyta; Magnoliopsida; Zingiberales; Musaceae.
GUGUUACUUAUCGAAAUUCCAUUCAACAAUCAAUGGAACGGAACCAGCAACUUCACCUUGUAGUUACGUUCGAGCAGAAGACAUAAUAUCAUCAGCAGGAGCAGGUGCAGAAGUAAGAGUUGUUGACUACCCUACGGCGCUAACAGGAGUAGUUGACAGAUAUUUAUCAUCAACAAAGAAGGAUUCCACUCGCCCAGCAACGUCCUGUUUUUGUCUUUCUCGCCUACCAUGUGCUCUUUCUCCAAAGUAAUCAUUUCUGAAUUGAGUUUUUCUAAGGAAUAUAAGAAUGGAGGGUGAAGUUACCCUUAAAAUCACUGGGGGUAGGUACUGUUAAAGCCAACAUGGUUGAAAUAGACUCUAGAAGGCGUAUGUUAUGCAUUCGCGAAGCUUGGGAAAAGGAGGAAGAUGGAGUAAGAGAAUAACCUAUGUGUUCAGCAAGAAAACCAAAGAAAGGGGUUGGACCACACCAACUUAUAAGAAGUGGUCUUAUACUCUGAAUCACUAAUACUAUCCAUUCGCAGAUGAAGUGAAGCAACAAGAGAAGUUCCAGAGUGCUUUUCCUGAAUUCGAGUCACUUUAUGAAACCUCUUAUACCUCUUAUACCUCUUAUACCUAGUAUACCUCUUAUACCUAGUAUACUAUAUCUCUGCAAUCAUUUCAUUAUAUCUCUGCAAUCAUUUCAUUCAAGUUAGACAGCUUUCAAAGGCUAGAAGGGAGAAUAGUGCCCUUUGAAAGGAAGAGAAUGCCGAUACUUUUGAACAAUCUCCCAUCGGAAAAUAUGAUAAUAUCUUAUUAGCUUAUUAUCAGAGGACCUGACAAUUGCCCUCUGGAGCUAUCACGGCUACCUAAUAACCCACCCUACUAGUUCUUCUGGAUGAGUUCAAUCGCAAUGUAGCAUGGCUUUGCUUGCCGCGCUUCAACAGAUUGAACUUAGCAGUUUCUUUCACAAGUAGUUCUCAGUCUCGCCUGUGAUGCGUUUGCUUUGCUUACAUGGUUUUUCCCUGGACUGAUUGGAAAAAACAAGUUGGAUUGGUCCCUGCCGCUUUCUCUGGGCGGGCUGAGUCUAGUUGCUUCCGCCUGUUCGAUGGAAGUUUUCGUUCUGACUUCGCCGAGUCCAUCUCCAUUGAAAUCUCUCGCCCUCGUGAUAUCUCUAGGAGGAAAAGAAUCGGCCUACUAUGCUCUCCCCCAUCUAAGCUUUUGAGGGCAACGGGUGGGGAGGCUAGAGGCUCGCUGAAGGUACUUCUGUCUCUCUUGGCCGGCCUAUGAUUGUCCAGUCAGCCUUCUUUCUUUCCUUAAGAGUGAAUGGCCCUCUUGACUACUCCAUCUCUGUUUUGGAAUUUCAUGGGAUGUGUUGAAUAAGUGAAAAAAGGGACUACUUUACCAUCGCAUCGGGAGAGUACCAGGAAAGGGUUCAGGAGGAACCUUAUCUCAUCACAUCGGGAGAGUACCAGGAAAGGGUUCAGGAGGAACCUUAUCUCAUUGAUUCUUUCUCCUCCAAUUCCCCCCGGGAAAGCAAGCCCUAUGAAACCUCUAUUCCAUCAAGCAAACCCCGAACAGCAGGUAUGAGCCCUUAGAUUCUCGGAGUUCUAACCUCGAUUAUAUUCGAAAAUCACUGCCCUUGGCCAAAGACAGACAUCUAGAUCAUAGGAAGAAUCGCCCCAACGCAAAAGACAGAGGAAAAGCAAUAUCUAAAAGAACAUCACUGACGCAAUUGGAAGAUCCGCCUUGGCAGCAGCUAUUCUUCCUUCGUAGACAAAAGAGAUUGAAUACAAGGAAUCCUCUGUUUAGGCUUAACUACAGGAAUCAAACCUAGAAAAGCGAAGGGCAUAGGUCCACUCUUCCUACAUUGAUAGACCUCUUAUCUAUUGAAUAAGAAAUUCACAUCUAUUUGUAUUUCUUUUGAGGAAGAUGAUAAAGAGACUUAUUACCUGGUCCACUAGUACACCGUAGUUAUUCGAAUUUCUCGCGGUGGUGGUUUCCUCAUAAACCCUCAGCUAUAGAUCCAUGGACGUCUCCAUUCAUUUACCUUCUCCUCCACUCGAGGACAACCAAAUCCUCAUCAGUCCUUUUGAUGCGUUCGAAAGAAAGUAGAGGAAAGAUAAGAGUGACCAUUGAAAGAAGAAAAGAUGUUACCGACACAGAAAGAAGAAAAGAUGUUACCGACACUGGGAGUAUAGCUCCUAUGUUCCGACCAGAGGAAAAAACGAACAUGGCUUUCCUCCAUAUACCUAGGAAAAAACGAACAUGGCUUUCCUCCAUAUACCUAUUAAGAAGGAGAAUGUCUUUUAACGAUAAUUGCCUGCUUUACAGAUUGACGGAUAAGGCGGGAACUCCUUUUCUUCUUGAAAGCAAGUAAGUCCUAGCCUAGUUAGCCUGUCUCGGUCUCAUGGAAAGGGAAAGCUCAAAUAAAUAAGUAUAGAAGCUGGUCUUGAAUAAUUGCUCCGCUAGAAUCAAGAGAACACUUUUGAUAUACGACAACAUGAUUUACUGUAAAACAAUCCAUCCGUUUUCUCCACACAUUGGGCAUUGGUUACAUAACAUAAGGGACCGUUAUCUUGCUGAAGAUUGACUUACCUUUAAAAGCGAAAGUCAGAUGGAAUGAAUGACGCUCCGCUCGCCCCUACUAUUGUGACAUCGACCCUCUCUCUCGCUUAACUAUGUCCCCGCUUCUAUAGUAUUACUUAUCAACUAUAUGUGCCACAGUUAUCCAGACAUUUGUGAUGGUGGUUGUCAUGUCAAUCAGAGGCAGCGCUAACUCCGAUUUCAUAGUUUGCACGAUAUGUAUGCAGACCCUCGUCUACCUUAUUCAACCUAUUCCCCACCAACUAAAGCACAUUACUCACUUACCUCACAAAUCAUGGUGAUUCCGCCUACCCUUUCACUACCUUUGAACUAGUAAGAUUGGCCAAUAACUCCCCUUUCUAUUGUUUUAGCUUAUCAUCCACAGUCUUGUAUAACAGGGCUUUGUCUUCGGUAGUCUAGUGUGUGUAUCUCGCUUCACUCCUCUUGUGAUAGGCAGUAAGAUGAUGGAUGUUAGAAUUGUAUCUCUGCUAAUGGUCUCUCGUAUGAUAAUUGUAUCUCUGCUAAUGGUCUCUCGUAUACAGAAAGAGGUAUGCUGGAUGAAAUGAUGUAUAGUCAAUUCGGGUCCGGAAUUGAUUUAUGUUAGGUAAACAAAUGGAUGGAUAUACUUAAUGUCGCCACGGCACCUUCUUCUUUUCUGUGCGCUAGUUUUCAAUAGGUCGGAAAAGUGGGAAGAAAGCCUUUCAUACAGAAGUGGUGCUGGUCCUAGGACGUGGGGCUCAACUCCGGAAGUAGAACCCCCUCCACAAUCCAUUUCCUAAAGUAUGUAUAAACCUUCUGCACCCAAGGCAUGCCCCAGAGUUCCCCCUCUUUCUUUUUUCAAAGUUCAAUAGUUUAGUUUAGGUUAUGCUUGGUCUUUUGGUAUAUACUCCAAUUCCGCUAUCAUAACUAAGCUCUAAUUCUUUGCUUGCCAAGCAAGGUGGUCAAUAGUUCUUUCUAGUUUGGUAGUGAUAGUUCGCCAAGCUACUACUUUCAAUAGAAAUGGAAGGAGGUGAUUCUGUUGUCUCAGUAUACUUUCCAAUUCUAUAUGUAUGUGCUGCAGCUUAUGUUUCUUAUUCCGUUGUGUUAACACGCUUGCGGAUUCUCUUCUUUGAAGAUUCAUCUACUCUCUAUACUUGGACACAUGCGAUUUGUGCACCGCUCUAUCCCUAUUUCAAAUAACUGAAUGGAGUAUAUGCUUGGUUAGGAGCUUUGAUACUCUUUUCUUUCCUUCCUAACAGACACAGAGACGUAAUUCUUUCAGUCCCGAAAAAGGCCCAGGCGAAAGAAGAGGCCAAGAACAGAACUCCAUGAAGACUCAAACCACUCCCCUGCAUAUAAGUAAUCAAUGAUAUAAGUAAUAAAUGAUAUAAGUAAUAAAUGAGAAAUGAUAUCAGAUCAACGAAGAAAGAGUCCGGAUUAUGUAUUUGAGCGAAGAAAGAGUCCGGAUUAUGUAUUUGAGCCUAAGAACAUAGACCUGUUCGGUAUUCACUCGACACUACUACAUAUCGGCACCAACAUCUACUCACUUCUUGACUGCCCCUUUACCCUUACCCGAUCCCAUGCCCAUGCCUAGCGAUCUAAGCCCGAAAGCAUAGAAUGACUUUUCGAAUUGAUCCAUAUAUUACUCGAUUGCAUGGAAUGACUUUUCUUAUCUAUCUAUAUAUUAACCGAUAGCAAGACAAGCCCUGGAUCCCAAUCCAAUUCCUCUCUCCUGGCAGCAAAGAAAGAAGGGGAGAUCCCCGCUAUCUAUCUACUGGUCACUUAUCCACUGGUCACUUUACUGGCUCAUAACUCGAGCAGUUGCUUGGCCAGACUUAUGCUUAUCCGCCAGGUGGUAACGGGACUACCCUCCUUAUCCUUUGCGGGGUCUACUUCCUUUGUUAUCCCUACCUAUACAUCUUUCCUUUCCCGCGUCGGGGAUGCCGGAAGCAAACACUUUGGAUCUUGUUUAUUUCAUAUUAAUAGUUCGCUCAGUAAAUCCUUCGUUGAAGCAACGGCUUACUCGCAAGAGGAGGCAUAGACUGUGGUGGCUUAUCGAGCAGCUCCACCAGUGCCAUCUAUUACACAGCAGCGGUGAAGCUAGCAGCAGAUACUUUAUGCAUUCCGGGAGAAAGAAAGCAAGUGGUCCCAAGAGCGGAUUUGAGUGCUGGAACUAGUUGUGCUCCUACUCAUACUGGGCCAAAGGACGGGGAUUCAAAUGACAAGAAUAGUGCCCAGCUACAUCAACGGUUCGAAAUCAGUUACUUGUAACAAAUCCAGACAAAGAAGUUGAUCCUUUAGAUUCUAUUGAUCCCCCGGUGAUCCAGUCCCUAUUUAGCAGAGUAGACCGAGGUCGGAAUGGGAUCGGGUCUUUUCACGUCUCACCGUAGUGCCCGUCUUUAUGAACAUAUUGGAUGACUCUGGCUACGUGUCCUUCCUUCCUGCCCUCAGAGCUGAUUCGACGGGAUGCCUAAGAGCAACGAAUUCUUCUUUCCUGAAAGAGCCUAUUCGAGAACAGUAAGAGCAGAUUCGAGGGCAUCAAUUCAUGGUUUCCUCUUCUUUGACUAUUAUACCUACCCAUGGGAACUGUGAACAACCGAUUCUUACACCUCAUCUGCACCUCAAAACAGGGCAUUAUCGAGCAGCUCCUUCUGUAACAGCAGCAGUUGAUUCAAUAGCAACGGAGUCAGUAACGGCGGAUUCUAGCACAACAACCUAUUCUAUAACAAGAAGAGCGGAUACGUCGUUCUUUCAAAGAGCGCUUAUUCCCCUUCAUGUAAAGCCUAUUCUCCUAACAUAAAGCAAAAAGGGAUUCAGGCUCAAGGCACUUUUGGACUCUAUUCCUUCUAAGGAGAGUGAAGAAUCAAUCCAUUGCUUUAAAUACGAAUAGUGGGCGUAUAUUUUCCAGUUACAGAAAGACGUAUAGUUUUAGGGGAAAGGAUAACCAUAGAACCGUUUUGAAAAUGGAUCAGUUGACCCGGUAUACGAAUUCAUUCUAACUAUCAACAAAUUGUGGCUCAAUGGGGAUUGUCAUUCUUUCUACUUUUUCCUUAAUUAAGUCCUAAGUUCUUCAGUAGCUCAGUGGUAGAGCGGUCGGCUGUUAACUGACUGGUCGUAGGUUCGAAUCCUACUUGGGGAGAUUGGAUUCAUGAUUUCUAGGUUAAUGAAGAAUAGAGUGAAAAGGAAGGAAGGGCUCGGACCGUUAGGAGUAUCCGUUCGCUGUCCUUGUUUCUAUUGCAUUCUAUAUCUCAUCUACUCACAUUCUGUUCAACGAUAUAUAAGAAUCGCAAUACCUCGGCUCCGAUCCCUUGUAAAUAUCCAAUUCAUCAUUCUUAGAUGAUGUACUAGCAGUGUCUCCUUUUGAUCAUCGAUUUUCCCGAUAGGCCACAAGCGAGCAAACAUAUUAAUGACGAGGAACGAUUGCAAUACAACUAAUACUAUACUUGUGCUCUGUUAUUCUGUCCAAAAGCCUUUGUGCUUGCUAUGCCACUAAUACUUGAGACUUGUGCUUGCUAUGCCACUAAUACUUCACUUGCGAGGAAGGCUUGCUAUGCCACUAAUACAAAUACUUGCUCUGCAAUUCUUCCCUGGCUGAGGAAGAGUUCUGGGGAGUAACAAAUAUGCUGAUUACGGUAUUGGUUACAAGAGUUCUGGGGAGUAACAAAUAUGCUGAUUACGGUAUUGGUUACAAUAUGUAAUGAUCGAAUCUUUCAUGAGAAAUCCAAAUCAGUAGUAAGGCCAUUCCAUUUCGACAAAGAAAGACCAUUGCAAACCAAGUUCAAUAGCUUUGCGUCCGCUAUCCAUUUUCCUACCCACACCCCUGAGGGAAAGGUCCAAACCAAAAGGUCAGAUUGUAGGCGAGGAGGGAUUCGCCAACACCGUAGCCACGUGCUCUAAUCCUCUGAGCAACAGGCCCCACCCCGUCUCCACAGGAGAAGUUCCCGGGAGUACCAUAAUAAAGGAACCUUUCCUAUCCUCUGCCAUUUCGGGUUAAGAAGAUGUAAAAGGCGCCUUUCUCUCCAUUUCUAUCUAUCUAUAAAGAAAGACAUAAAUCUCACAGUGCGUUCCGAGGUGUGAAGUGAUAGAGAAGAUAAGUCAUAAUUCUCGUUUUUCAUAAGACAGACGACCUUGGCAUUUUGGAUUUCUAUCUAUUUCACAUAUUUCCAAUUAUAGAAUAAAUCAAAUAAGGAAAGGUGUUUUGUUACUAUAUUUCUCAGAUGUUGAAUAGAUAUGAUUUCAUUGAUUUUAGUUUAGAGUGUUUUUCAUUAAUUAUAGAAUAAUGCCUGGGUCCCUUACCUUAGAAUCGAAAACACAAGAUUCAUCCCAGUAUGCACGGAGCCAGAAAGGCAACCCCCCUUGAAACCAUGGGAAGCUAUCAUGGAAGAAUUGAACCUCGUUGAAAUAGUUUCUCUUUCUAUUUCCUUACCGUAGGUUAGUAAAGGAAGGCUUACCAUUGUGCAUUAAUCCCUCUUUCCUUUCAAUUCAAAGAAGAUGUUUUCCCAUAGAAACCGUCAUCUCUCUGUGUCCAUCGCUCUUUGUUUGGUUGGUGGAAUGCUCUCACCGAAGGCUUGGGAUAUUUUUGGAAAGCUUUCAUAGCGGGUUAGUGUAUUAGUUGCUACUAAAAUGGAACUAGCUAGCAGCUUAAGUUAGGAAGGAAGUGGCUAGAGCAUCUACCCCGGGUUCAUGAACUUACAGACUUGCUUGGUCAGCUACAUCUUUAUGGUUCUAACAAGCGACGCUUCCCUCUCUUACCACACAAAGCGAUUCGUGCACAUAGUCUCAAUCUAGUAUGUCGAAUACCUAUGACUUCGAAUACAGCCAACAGUAAUGAAGUUAGUAAAGUAGUAGGAAGCUAAAGACAGUUUAAGGCAUUGAGCUAACCAACGACUAAUGACCAAGCCAGGCAAGCAACUACGACUGAACCUUGGAACUACCCUUUCUCAUGGAUACUUUCCUGGAACUGAACCGAACCUUUCUACUAUUCCUGGAGUGGAGACAACACCUCCGAUUCUCCCUCUCUGGUCUACUUUACUCACACAACGGAUUCAGUUGCGAGAAUACACAUUGCAUCCAAGUUCUUAUAAUUACCCGUAUC